AUUGAACGCUGGCGGCAGGCUUAACACAUGCAAGUCGAGCGGGGUGAUGGUGCUUGCACUAUCACUUAGCGGCGGACGGGUGAGUGAUGCUUAGGAAUCUGCCUAUUAGUGGGGGACAACAUCUCGAAAGGGAUGCUAAUACCGCAUACGUCCUACGGGAGAAAGCAGGGGAUCACUUGUGACCUUGCGCUUAUAGAUGAGCCUAAGUCGGAUUAGCUAGUUGGUGGGGUAAAGGCCUACCAAGGCGACGAUCUGUAGCGGGUCUGAGAGGAUGAUCCGCCACACUGGGACUGAGACACGGCCCAGACUCCUACGGGAGGCAGCAGUGGGGAAUAUUGGACAAUGGGGGGAACCCUGAUCCAGCCAUGCCGCGUGUGUGAAGAAGGCCUUAUGGUUGUAAAGCACUUUAAGCGAGGAGGAGGCUCUUUUGGUUAAUACCCAAGAUGAGUGGACGUUACUCGCAGAAUAAGCACCGGCUAACUCUGUGCCAGCCGCCGCGGUAA
RNAcentral lists this ribosomal RNA (503 nucleotides) under uncultured bacterium. RNAcentral's name for it is "partial 16S ribosomal RNA". It matches the Rfam family "Bacterial small subunit ribosomal RNA", at positions 30 to 523 of the family's 1533-position model. The record is from RNAcentral.